AGUGAACGCUGGCGGUAGGCCUAACACAUGCAAGUCGAACGGCAGCACAGUAAGAGCUUGCUCUUACGGGUGGCGAGUGGCGGACGUGUGAGGAAUACAUCGGAAUCUACUUUUUCGUGGGGGAUAACGUAGGGAAACUUACGCUAAUACCGCAUACGACCUACGGGUGAAAGCAGGGGAUCUUCGGACCUUGCGCGAUUGAAUGAGCCGAUGUCGGGUUAGCUAGUUGGCGGGGUAAAGGCCCACCAAGGCGACGAUCCGUAGCUGGUCUGAGAGGAUGAUCGGCCACACUGGAACGGAGACACGGUCCAGACUCCUACGGGAGGCAGCAGUGGGGAAUGUUGGACAAUGGGCGCAAGCCUGACCCAGCCAUACCGCGUGGGUGAAGAAGGCCUUCGGGUUGUAAAGCCCUUUUGUUGGGAAAGAAACGCAGCAGGUUAAUACCCCGCUGUUCUGACGGUACCCAAAGAAUAAGCACCGGCUAACUUCGUG
This 492-nucleotide ribosomal RNA is filed under the name uncultured bacterium. RNAcentral describes it as "partial 16S ribosomal RNA". It matches the Rfam family "Bacterial small subunit ribosomal RNA", at positions 29 to 507 of the family's 1533-position model. The record is from RNAcentral.